GUAUGGAGCAAGCGUUAUCCGGAUUUACUGGGUGUAAAGGGAGCGUAGGCGGUCCUGCAAGUCUGAUGUGAAAGGCCGGGGCUCAACCCCGGGACUGCAUUGGAAACUGUAGGACUAGAGUGUCGGAGGGGUAAGUGGAAUUCCUAGUGUAGCGGUGAAAUGCGUAGAUAUUAGGAGGAACACCAGUGGCGAAGGCGGCUUACUGGACGACUACUGACGCUGAGGCUCGAAAGCGUGGGGAGCAAACAGGAUUAGAUACCCUGGUAGUCCACACAGUAAACGAUGAAUACUCGCUGUUUGCGAUAUACAGUAAGCGGCCAAGCGAAAGCAUUAAGUAUUCCACCUGGGGAGUACGCCGGCAACGGUGAAACUCAAAGG
Molecule: ribosomal RNA, 378 nt
Filed under: uncultured bacterium
Lineage: Bacteria
Description: bacterial SSU rRNA
Rfam family: Bacterial small subunit ribosomal RNA
Source: RNAcentral